AUCAGCAAUCACCGAAGUGAAGCAUCAUUGGGAGCGGUCAGUACUUGGGUGGGUGACCACCUGGGAACACCGCGUGCCGUUG
Molecule: non-coding RNA, 82 nt
Organism: Caerostris extrusa
Lineage: Eukaryota; Metazoa; Arthropoda; Arachnida; Araneae; Araneidae
Source: the annotation of a GenBank genome assembly